CAGACGAUGUCGAAGAUGAAAUUAUGUUUACCCAGAGCCCUGAAAGUAAUGUCAAGGCAUGGGUUCUAUGGAGUAGAACAAAACUUACCUUUAUUGACCAAUGAACACCAUUCUAUUCGUCAAUUGUGCAACUUUUUCCCGAUUUUUUGCCGUAUUCCGAGACACCAAAUUGAUGACCAAUUCCAAACUACAAAACAACCAACUUUGUUAGACAAUCGUCCAACUGUGUGUCAUCCCUGGUUAAGACUCAAAACAGGCCAAGACAAAGAGGAUGUAGAAGAUAUUGAAGAAAGAGUCAGCUCAAACGAGGGUUUAGAUGCCAAGCUGAUCAAUGUAAAAAUCUAUUAGAUCCUAUCCUGAUUAUGAUGAAGAUGAUGUUGCUAAAUCAAAACCUAAACAACUGAUGAUAGUUGUUGGCUCAACACGAUUAGAUGCUGUUAUUACAAAAGCCUUUGGGAUCAGCAGAUCAAAAACAGAAGAGAAACUUGCAACAAAAAACUGCUUGGUCAAUGGGAAACUUCCUCAAAAGAAAGCAACACAGAUAAAAGUUGGAGACUGCAUUGAUAUUGUCUUGGAUCAAAUGACACGUAUUACAAAGCUCAAAGGACUCGUAUUUUAGAUGUUAUAUCAGAAAAGACAAAAGCAGGCAGGACAAAGAUGAUAAUAAGACUGUGGAAAAAACCUUUUCAUGUGGAGAUGACUUGAUUAAGCUAGAAUGAAUAAAAUUGUGACAAAAUUUA
RNA transcript from Saccostrea echinata, 740 nucleotides. RefSeq lists it as uncharacterized. The record is from RefSeq and is a predicted model, not a curated record. Lineage: Eukaryota; Metazoa; Mollusca; Bivalvia; Ostreida; Ostreidae. The transcript is spliced from 4 exons.